Solanum lycopersicum (tomato) is the source of this 6914-nucleotide non-coding RNA. The record is from RefSeq and is a predicted model, not a curated record. NCBI's taxonomy places the organism in Eukaryota, Viridiplantae, Streptophyta, Magnoliopsida, Solanales, Solanaceae.
CCUACAUCAGAUUGAUCAGACACAAAUUACAAAUCCCUCUUUUUUUAUUUUUACACAAAAUUGUCUAACAAAAAUUCUUAGCAGAUAUGAUUGCCUGAACAAAACUGAAGGUUUCAGAGGACACUGUCUAGCGGAAGAGUCCUCUCUUUUCUAUGCUCAAUCACUUCACUUCUCUAAUACUUCUUCUUGCAUGUCUUAGAAUCAUGGCUUUGCUUACUAAUUCAUUUUCGAUGCGGUCCCUUCUUGAUUUGUAUGAAGGAAAUUUAUUUAUUGCACUCGUGGUUGUGGGUUAUUUAUUCAUUUGUGAUUACUUUGUUUGUUGUAUGUCGUUCGAUUCCAUUAUCUUUUUUUGUCCGCAUAUCUUCGGCGUGGUCACUAUUUCCUUUAUUUUAUGGCUUGGAUGAGUUGGUUUCUAAAGAAUGAAUUAAAUGCUAAGUUGAUUUUCAGUUAUGGGGUAUUUUGGUUCGUACUUCAGUUGAUCUAUAUUAAAGACACAUACACAUGUGGCAAGGAGUAUAACGUAGAAUUAUUUCCAUAUAAUGAUUUUAUUGAGAAUAUAUGGAAAAUUUAAGUUUUGGUGAGAUGAAAAGUUAGUUAAAUGACAAUCUAGUUAGUUUUAUGUGUUGGAGGCUUAGAACCCUUCAAUAUUUAUUGUGUAGUGAUUCCAAUGUACUAAAACCUAUUGCAGUAGAUGAGGGUGAAGAGUAUGUGGCUGCUCAUUGUACUAUGCUAUUCAUCAUAGUGAGGUUUCUUUGGGCACUGUAAGUGCUGGAACUGAUUGUGAUAGUUUUGAGAAGGAGGAAGGUAAUGACCCUGCAUCUAGAGAUUAUUAUAGUGAGGAGUUCAAGGUGUUAAGAAGGGAAAGGACUAAAGAAAUCAGCGAAAAAUUAGACAAGUACAAAGAGUUGGAAGAAGGUAAUGACUUGUAAAGAUAUCCAGAACCUAGGAAAGUUAUAUGCAAUUGCUAAUGUAAGAGUUUUAAGAUAGAAAAGAGUGACUCAGAAAGUCUUAAGAUACAAAUGGUACGUUAGAUGUUCUUUCAACUGUUUAUAUUUAAGGAUGGGCAAAACCAAACCUUUUCAGAUCAAGACUUUGAACAACAAAUCACCAUAAAUAAUCCAGAUUUACCAGAAUCAUGGAGGUGGUUCUCAAACUUUAGCACAGAUCCAUUAAAAGCUUUAACACAGAUAGAGUAAAAAAAUCAGCUUCAUUAGAAAGCAAUAAAAGCUUCAACAUGAAUGUAGUAAUAUUUUUUGUUGAAGGCCAAGAAUAUAGAAAACCCAAACCAUUAAAAGUUCCGUAAAAGCAACAACAACAUCAUACCCAGUGUAAUCUUACAAGUGGUUUUGGAGAGGGUAGAGAGUAAGCAAACCUUAUCCCUACCUUGUGGAGGUAGAGGAGAGGGUAGAGAGUAAGCAAACCUUAUCCCUACCUUGUGGAGGUAGAGAGGUUGUUUCCGAAAAGCCCUAAACUCAAGUGCAUCAAACGAAAAUAGAAAAAGUUUCAUAAAGCAUUAAAAUAAAUUACCUUAAUAACAAGACUUCAAAACUGACUGGUCAAGAAGAACCUUCAACAUCCAAUGAAGUUAUGACCCACAAUUUCCAUGUUUGAAGAGCAAAAGUUUCGCCCUAAAUCGCCUCAUUAUCUCUAAACUUCUAGGAAAUAACGGAUACCCUUGGAAGAAAAGAAAGUAUCAGGUGUUUAAUUUCUUAAAAUGAAAACAAGUUGGGUUUGUGUAAAUGUGUGGGUUUUAAUAUAAUCAUGCAUUAAGUAUGUUGCAAGCUUAGAAUGACAUGUGACUAUUUGAAAGACCGAGUUUUGACCCAGCCUGGUCCAUUAGUUUCAAGGGUAUGUUUGAGCCCCAAAAUGUUAAGAGUAUCUCUUGACUAAAAAGUUAAUGGAAGGUAUUUAUGAUCCAUUUUGAAUGCGUUAGGAAUAUUUUUGGUUUAUUUCCACUAUUUUGAUGAACCAAAUUCAACCCAGGCUUGUCAUUUAGUUUCACAUAUACAUUUUAGCUCAAAAAAACUCAAAGGUAUUUUUAGACCAUAAGGUUAACGGAGGGCAUAUGUGAGCCUUCUUCAAUACGUUAGGCGUGUCUUUUCCCUUUUCCGAACUUCAAAAGGUAUGAAAUGAUGUUGUCUUUCAUCUGCAUUAGAACAAUUUAAAAGUCUAUGAAUUACAAAAAAUAAAAUAAAUCAUUUUCUAAUUAAAACCCACUCAUUUAUUUAGUAAAUGAUUUUAUAAUUGUUCGUAAUUCAUAGACUUUCCGAUGCAGAUGAAAGACAACAACACUUCAUAUCUUUCCAAGUUCAGAAAAGGGUCAAAUAUACGCCUAACGUAUUGAAAAUGGCUCACAAAUGCCCUCUGUUAACCUUUAGUCUAAAAAUAUCCUUCAGUUUUUUCGGGCUUUAACAUAUAUGUGAAACUAAACGACAAGCCUGAGUCAAAUUUGGAUCAUCAAAAUAGUGGAAAUGAGCCUAAAAUAUCCCUAACACAUUGAAGAUGGAUCAAAAUAUCCUCCUUUAACCUUUUGGUCAAAAAUUACUCUUAAAUGUUUAUUUUGGGCUCAAUCAAACCCUUAAAACUAACGGGCCAACUUGGUUCAAAAUUGGGUCUUCAUAACAGUCACACAUCAUUCUAAGCUUGCCACAUUUUUAGUUCAAGAUUAAAUUAAAACCCACACAUUUAUUAAAACGCAACCCAUUUUCAUUUUAAGAAAUUAAACACCUAAUACAAUCUUUUCUUCCAGAGGUUAUUUCCUAGAAGCUUAGAGGGAAUAGGCUAUUUAGUGCUAAGCUUUUGUACUUUAAAUUGGGGAUUGUGGGUCAUAACUUUUGGAUAUUACAGGAUUCUUCUUAAUCAAUCAGUUUCAAAGUCUUAUUAUUAAGGUAAAUUUUUUACUUCUUUAUCUGAAGAUUUUUCUAUUUUGAUUUGAUACACUUGAGUUGAGGUGUUUUUGGAAACAACCUCUCUACCACCAGAAGGUAGGGAUAGGCAAAACUUAGGAUUUUUUGUAAAGCAACCCACCUAAUAUGGUAUACCCUUUACCAACAAUGCACGAGCAACAAUUAAGCAAAUAUGGUGCACUAUAAGCUGGAAUCACUUGUGUCUUAAACCAUGUAUAUAUAAUUAGCAAAAAUUUUAUAGGAGAACAAACCAUCCAUAAUAUGAAUAAAAGGAUUAAGAAAGUAUUUGAUAACUAACCGAAUCCUGAAUUGCAUUACAAAGCACUAGCCACCGAUAAUGACAUCAUUGGACAACUUAAAACAUUCCAUCCAAUGCCCAAUACAUUAAUACUAACAAAUGUGUUUGCGGAAACACUUAUUCUAUAGUUUCUUCUUCUUCCUUGUCUCUUUCUUUAUACCUGUAGUUUAUUUUUCAUUAUCAUUAGCAGCCACACGUUUCCGCUUCUUUUCCAUACAUUUCAGUGAGGUGGAUUGCACAGUAGGUGAAACAAUCUUUCACAUGUCUGAAUGCAAGAGGAUCACCACCCUGCAAUAAAACGAAUCAAGUCAUGUCGAAGCUACAAGAAAAAGAUAUCCGAACAUCUAACAAGAACUAAACUUCCAUUCAUACUUUUUCGAGAUAUUCUAAUAUCCUUAUGAUUUCUUCUCGUUCAGCACACACAUGUCUGCCAAUAAAAAGAAACCACACCAUAAAUAUAGACCUGGUAAUUUAUAAUUGAAAAACUUCAUUUAGGCUGGUUAAGAAAGCAGUGGAAUCUAGCAGUACUUCAUCUCUGCUCGAAUCUUCUCAAGUGCUGGAGAUGUUUUGGUACCAAUACCAACUUCGCCAUCAACCAAUCCUCUCAAUCCAUUUUGGUCCACAAAUCCUCCUUCGACCAGAUUAGGUCUAAACUUUAGUCCAGAAAUUCCUAUUAAUUGAGCAGCAGAAGCAAAAAUUAACACCUGAAAUACAAGAGACAAAAAUUAAACACUAGUCCGUUUGAAGGACAAUCCGUAGAAAAACUUGGGAAUUUAUCCCAUAAGAAACUCCAUGUAGUUCUGUUUUGGCCCAAACCCAUAAAAAUUAGAGUCCACAGCUGUAAGCCGUAGACUUAUUUCUUGCAAAACCCCUAAAACCCUUCUAUUGGAAGAACCCCAUAUUCCCUCUAUAUGCUCAUCUAUGGUUCAAUGACCAAAUAACCAAAAAUGCACCAAUGAUAUAGUUGAGAAAAUUCAAUUCUUGGCGUUUUCUAACAAUUCUUCAACUUCCCCCAAACCUAAUAGCAUUUGCAUGCUUGAACUCUUCAAUGCCAUAUCAAUUUUCAUCAUCUUUUUGGAGACCCUUUUUGUUUUCAGUUCAGUUUCAUAAAGAAUCAACUAGUUCAGAUAGUGUAGCCAAGAAACAAAAGCAAAGAAACCAUUGGGUGUUUCCCCAAGAAGCUGUUAUCCUCUUUUGAAAAUUCUAAAUAAUCAGAAAGUGAGGUUUAAACUGAAAACAAAGAAUUGAAGUGCAAGUUGAGAAAAUUGGAGGGAGAAAUGACGGUUUUGUUGUAGAAGAGGAAUGAGGAAAAGGAUAAUGGGAAGAAGGAAGUUCGAAAUGCUAAUGGGGUAUCAGAAAAUGAGGGAAAAAUUAAGAAAUUACAUGAAUUAUUUAUGAAUUAGGUGGUUACAUGAAUUGGUUGUGGUCAUUCUCUGACUGUAACAUUUGAUCAUUGAGGACUUGAGGUUUUGCAUUGUGUAAUUUGUGUUUUGUUGAUAUACCAAAAUCUUUCAACAAUGCACUUCUGAUAGAAUUUAGUUUGCUAAUCAUUGAAAAACUGGGGAAGUAUUUGUCUAUGUCUACGCCUUAUAGAAGCUGACAUUCGCAAACUGAUAACUGAUUAUGUUGUGUGUUUGGGGAAUAUGUCAUUUUUAAGCAAGGGGCACGAAAGCUGGGGACACCACGAUCAUAAAAAAAUGUCAUUCUUUCGGAUUCCUCAAGUAAAGAAAAAUGUUGACCAGAGUUCUACACUUCUCACCAAAAAGUGCUAAGUCAUAGAUUUGUGCUGGUCUUGAGCGAUAUGAGACAUCAUUAUAUCCGCUUCCAACCCUCGGUUCUCCAUGAGCAGGAAAGGUAAAGAUAAAGGAGAUAAAAUUCUCUAUAAAAUCAUCAGAUUGUUAAACAUGAAAGAAAUACUCCUAGUACUAUUAAUCAUAGUGAAGUUUCUUCAUGUAGCAUAGAUGUAUUAGGAGAAAUCACAUUGUCUUCACCUCAUCUACUGCAAAUUCUUUAGAACAUUGAAUUUACUACAAGAAAUAUUGAAGGGCUCUAAUACCUCCCAACACAUACAAUAUCAUAAACGCUCUCAGGUACUUUUUUUGAGGUUCAGUUGUAGCCCUUUUUGCAUUUUUCACUCUCUAGGGGAGAAGUUCUCUGGCUGCUCUUCACUAGGAAUCUAUACUUCUCCUCUUUGCAUGUCCAAAACCAUGUCACCCUCACUUUCCUUAUCUUAUGCACCAUACAGGCAACUCCUACAUUGUCCCAGAUAUAUUAGUUCCUAGUCUUAUCCCUAUGAGUAUCACAUCUACCUCCACAUUCUCAUCUUUGCAGUUUUCAUCUUCUAAACAUGUGAGUUCUUAGGACAGAUGGAGUAGUAAACAAAGCCAUUAAAAGUUUCAACACAGAUGGAUUAGAAAAACAAAAAACAACUUCAUGAGAAAGCAUUAUAAAAUUCAACAUGAUUGGAGUAAUUUUUUUUAUCGAAGGCCAAGGCCCAAGAUUAUAGGAAUCUCAAACCAUAACAAGUUUCAUACAAACAACCUAUGCGGCUUGGACUCUUCAAAAAUGUCAACGGGUGCGUGUCUGAUUGGCCAAAAGUAGUGUAUUUUUGAAGAAUUCGAGACAAGUACGGCAUUAAAAGUGAAGAGUCUGCAACUAUUUAAACAACAACAUCUACAUCAUACCACUAUUUUGGUGGCAAAAGGCGACAAGGGUCUACCUCGCCAUAGUCGUACUGCAGAAAAAUAAAGAAAAAGAAGAAAAGAAGAGAUUUGACUAAGUCACCAGGGUCGUACCCAAGCAGCAGUCCCGCAAGUCGUACCUGAGCAGCAGCGUCGCGAUUCGCGAAGGUCGCGUAAGUCCAGUGAGGAGGACCAGCAGACGUGACACCUAAUCUGAGAUGGUUGUCUGGCAGUGACUUGAAAAAAGUCGCCCUUUUUGGUUGCCCUUCUAUUGCAAACAAGACUGUUUUUUCUGCUAAGAGGUUGCGUGCAUAUUUCAGAAUUCAAGAAGUUGAUUAUGCAGCAAAUGUGCCUUAAAUGCAUCACGCAAGUUUGUGAAUCAGAAUGUCUGGAAAGCCGAUAUGACAUGCACUGGAAUCAGUUCCUCCCCUGUCAGUAAAACCAGAUGAUAUAAAGGCUUCUGUCAGUCAGUUGCUGAUGGACAUUUUGAGACUUAGUCAAAAUGUCUCUUAAUCGCUUCUUCAGAUAUCCGAUGAGUUGAUCAGCAGCAGCAUACAGGUAACAUUGGUCUAAUUGUCAGUGAGAUGCUUAUACCCCGUCAUGAUCAUGCUAGUUCUACGCGUGGUUGCACUGUAUUUUCACGAAUUGUAGUUCCUGUGGUAAUGAAUCCAUGUGCCAGAUGGACAGUCGGGUUGAAUCUCUGGACAACAACAGAACCUUAGUUGGUAGAGGUGAUGUUUCUUAUAGGAAAACUGUAAAUGUAUCUCCUUCGAAACACAUCUUUGUUGAUCCAUGACCCAAGAUUUCCUUCAACUUUACGGAUAGCCAAAGUGUACCCAAGUCAAAUAUUUGCAAUUGUAGGGAAUAUAUCAAGGCUGAGAAUUACUUUCUUUAGCCAAGUUUACUAUUUGAAUUUAAUACUGAACAUAUAUAUGGUAAUUGUGUAUGAUUAUGGUAUUCAUUUGAUUGAAUUCAAUGUAAUACUAAAUCUGAUAUUUUUUUUAUAAUAUAAACUACUGACUAAUAAUC